GCGAGGGCGGGACGCUGGUUCAGGUACCCGAGCCGCGGAGAGCGGAGUUUCAGGACUUUGGAGCCCAAAGACUUCGAGAAGAAGACACCUAUUCACCACACUCCUGCCUAGAAAACAACCAGAAAUAUUUGCCCAGGUACACAGACACCUGCGGAAACCAGUACAGAACCCUCACCACUUAGCUUUUGCUAACAGCAUACCUUGCCACUGAGUUUUCCUGAAGACUGUCCCAUUCAACCUGAAGACCUCCCUCCAGAGUGAUUCCUCAUUGUGCCUCAACGGGGGUCAGCACCACUCCAGAGGUACUCUUGCCCUGGGGAGAGCAGAAGAUAACCGCACACACAGCAGUUCAAUGGCAGCCCCGACGCCCCACCCACCAACAGAAACCUCCCGGGGGUGGGGGUCAGCACAAAGAGAACCCAGUCAUUCAGGAUCACUGCAACCACCACAGAAGACUGGGGACAGACAUCUUCUCUUACUCCUGACCUUGCCCACCAAUGAAAGCCCCUUGGGGACAACAGAGGGAGAGAACUCUAUAGAUUGGUGCAUCCAUGGUUCCAGCAAGUGGGCUGAAGGCAAGUAUUGGGUCUGACCUAAUUCAAGCCCAGAGUGGCCCCAGACUGGCACCUUAACAGCACAGGGACCAAACCCUGAUGACAACAGGCAAAGAGGGCCAGGGAAGCCAACUGGACUAAAGGCAAAUAUGGCUCAACGACAGUAGUAGGGUACAUGCAACACACACAGGAGAUCCCCCUGAAGCACCAGGGUCUACGGAGGAGGGAACAUUGCCCUAUAGGGCAUUUCAGGAUCGCUUCAUAAGGCCUCUCAUUUCAAGAUCAGGAGACCUAGCUGACUUGAAUACAAAGAAGCAGAAUUAGGAAUUAUGCCCCAAAUGAAACAACAGGACCAAGAAGAGAAUGUAAUUGUCAUAAAGAUACUCACUAGACUUAAGAUUGAAAGAUCCCCACGUGACCUUCAGCAAAGAAAGAAAAUAUUAAAAAGAACCAAUUAGAGAUGAAGAGUUCUGAAAUUAAAAAUAUGCUCAAGUCAAUAAAUAGUAGGCCAGAGGAAGCAGUAAAACAGAUAGGAAGCUAGAUGACGGUAAUGGAGCAACCAAGCUGGACAGGACCCCCCCCCCCAAAAAAAAAAAAUGGUAGGAGAACUCAGCAACAGCAUUAGGUGUAAUAACAGUCACAUUCUAGGGAUCCCAGAAGGAGAAGAGAGACAAAAAGCAGAAAUUUUGAUUAAGUAUCUGAAAACUUUCCUAAUCUGGGGAAGGAAAUAAAUCUAGGUCCAGAAGUCACAGAGAGCCACCAAAAAAAAAAAAAAAAAAAAAAAAAA
Long non-coding RNA from Neogale vison (American mink), 1341 nucleotides. RefSeq lists it as uncharacterized. The transcript has 3 exons. The record is from RefSeq and is a predicted model, not a curated record. NCBI's taxonomy places the organism in Eukaryota, Metazoa, Chordata, Mammalia, Carnivora, Mustelidae.